AGUCGAGGGGCAGCAUGAUUGAAGCUUGCUUCAAUUGAUGGCGACCGGCGCACGGGUGAGUAACGCGUAUCCAACCUUCCGUACACUCAGGGAUAGCCUUUCGAAAGAAAGAUUAAUACCUGAUGGUAUGAUGAGAUUGCAUGAUAGCAUCAUUAAAGAUUUAUCGGUGUACGAUGGGGAUGCGUUCCAUUAGGUAGUAGGCGGGGUAACGGCCCACCUAGCCUACGAUGGAUAGGGGUUCUGAGAGGAAGGUCCCCCACAUUGGAACUGAGACACGGUCCAAACUCCUACGGGAGGCAGCAGUGAGGAAUAUUGGUCAAUGGACGAGAGUCUGAACCAGCCAAGUAGCGUGAAGGAUGAAGGUCCUACGGAUUGUAAACUUCUUUUAUAAGGGAAUAAAACCUCCCACGUGUGGGAGCUUGUAUGUACCUUAUGAAUAAGCAUCGGCUAACUCCGUGCCAGCAGCCGCGGUAAUACGGAGGAUGCGAGCGUUAUCCGGAUUUAUUGGGUUUAAAGGGAGCGCAGACGGGUCGUUAAGUCAGCUGUGAAAGUUUGGGGCUCAACCUUAAAAUUGCAGUUGAUACUGGCGUCCUUGAGUGCGGUUGAGGUGUGCGGAAUUCGUGGUGUAGCGGUGAAAUGCUUAGAUAUCACGAAGAA
This 657-nucleotide ribosomal RNA is filed under the name uncultured bacterium. RNAcentral's name for it is "bacterial SSU rRNA". It matches the Rfam family "Bacterial small subunit ribosomal RNA", at positions 60 to 706 of the family's 1533-position model. The record is from RNAcentral.